UACGUAGGGGCAAGCGUUGUCCGGAAUCAUUGGGCGUAAGAGCGCGUAGGCGGUCCGGUAAGUCCGCUCUGAAAGUCCGGGGCUCAACCCCGGGAGGCGGGCGGAUACUGUCGGGCUAGAGUCCGGAAGAGGCGAGUGGAAUUCCUGGUGUAGCGGUGAAAUGCGGCAGAUAUCAGGAGGAACACCAACGGCGAAGGCAGCUCGCUGGGACGGUACUGACGCUGAGACGCGAAAGCGUGGGGAGCGAACAGG
Molecule: ribosomal RNA, 252 nt
Filed under: uncultured bacterium
Lineage: Bacteria
Description: partial 16S ribosomal RNA
Rfam family: Bacterial small subunit ribosomal RNA
Source: RNAcentral